This is a long non-coding RNA of Herpailurus yagouaroundi (jaguarundi), 642 nucleotides long. RefSeq lists it as uncharacterized. NCBI's taxonomy places the organism in Eukaryota, Metazoa, Chordata, Mammalia, Carnivora, Felidae. The transcript has 4 exons. The record is from RefSeq and is a predicted model, not a curated record.
CCCCAGCGGCCCAGAGACAAGGUGGGCGGUGCGUCGCAGAACCGGAAAGCAGCCACAGGCUGACCCCGGCUUUCUGUGUGGCUGGAGGGGGAGGCGGCCCCCUAGUGGCAAAGGUCCGCACAGGGGCCGAAGUUCAACGAGUCCCAGAGACUAAAGGUGACCUUCCUGCCCUGGGUUCUGAUGCCGCCUCCCACGACCGGGGGCCGUGCCGGCUGGGGGUGCCCCAAGAUCUCCUGGAGCAGGAUCGCUUCCUCACUGUGGCCCCUCUGCAAACUUCACGCUCCUUACCUGCACUGACGCGAGAGCAACAGAGGAGUCAAUUGCCCCCAGCUCCUGAUAGCAAGUAACAUUGAUUAGCCGGCUCCUGCAAAGGGCGAUGUGUUACCUGCAGUCAACAGGAGUUUGGAAACGAGGGGUCCCCCUUCUGACAGAUAAUCAGAAAGUCACAAGUAGCCUAACACUACGUCGAAAUGCCCACGUUGCUCCCUCACUUCAUCUCCUCACACAGGCAUUUUAUCAUCUCACAUCGUUACAAGAAAGGUCUACACCAUCCAAUAUGGCAGCCACGACUCAUGUGUGCUAGUCCCAGUUGAGCAAGUAUAACGAGCACAUCGGCUUCUGAAGACUUAAUACAAAAAAAAA